UUUGCCUAUAAAGCUAUUUGUCCC
This 24-nucleotide non-coding RNA is filed under the name Arabidopsis thaliana (thale cress). Lineage: Eukaryota; Viridiplantae; Streptophyta; Magnoliopsida; Brassicales; Brassicaceae. The record is from RNAcentral.